Molecule: microRNA precursor, 98 nt
Filed under: Vicugna pacos (alpaca)
Lineage: Eukaryota; Metazoa; Chordata; Mammalia; Artiodactyla; Camelidae
Description: miRNA (ENSVPAG00000016570.1)
Source: RNAcentral
GGGGCAGCUGGAAGGGGUCCUUGGUGAGGUCAUGCUCCUCAUUUUGCAAAUGACAAAGCUGGGGCCCCUGGAGGGGAGGGAAGGUGCUGGGGCCUUCU